Molecule: ribosomal RNA, 460 nt
Filed under: Pseudomonas sp. R-41998
Lineage: Bacteria; Pseudomonadati; Pseudomonadota; Gammaproteobacteria; Pseudomonadales; Pseudomonadaceae
Description: bacterial SSU rRNA
Rfam family: Bacterial small subunit ribosomal RNA
Source: RNAcentral
AUUGAACGCUGGCGGCAGGCCUAACACAUGCAAGUCGAGCGGUAGAGAGAAGCUUGCUUCUCUUGAGAGCGGCGGACGGGUGAGUAAUGCCUAGGAAUCUGCCUGGUAGUGGGGGAUAACGUUCGGAAACGGACGCUAAUACCGCAUACGUCCUACGGGAGAAAGCAGGGGACCUUCGGGCCUUGCGCUAUCAGAUGAGCCUAGGUCGGAUUAGCUAGUUGGUGGGGUAAUGGCUCACCAAGGCGACGAUCCGUAACUGGUCUGAGAGGAUGAUCAGUCACACUGGAACUGAGACACGGUCCAGACUCCUACGGGAGGCAGCAGUGGGGAAUAUUGGACAAUGGGCGAAAGCCUGAUCCAGCCAUGCCGCGUGUGUGAAGAAGGUCUUCGGAUUGUAAAGCACUUUAAGUUGGGAGGAAGGGCCAUUACCUAAUACGUGAUGGUUUUGACGUACCGACAG